RNAcentral lists this transfer RNA (82 nucleotides) under Parachlamydiaceae bacterium. RNAcentral's name for it is "tRNA-Leu". It matches the Rfam family "tRNA". From Rfam's summary of the family: Transfer RNA (tRNA) molecules are approximately 80 nucleotides in length. Their secondary structure includes four short double-helical elements and three loops (D, anti-codon, and T loops). Further hydrogen bonds mediate the characteristic L-shaped molecular structure. tRNAs have two regions of fundamental functional importance: the anti-codon, which is responsible for specific mRNA codon recognition, and the 3' end, to which the tRNAs corresponding amino acid is attached (by aminoacyl-tRNA synthetases). tRNAs cope with the degeneracy of the genetic code in two manners: having more than one tRNA (with a specific anti-codon) for a particular amino acid; and 'wobble' base-pairing, i.e. permitting non-standard base-pairing at the 3rd anti-codon position. The record is from RNAcentral. Lineage: Bacteria; Pseudomonadati; Chlamydiota; Chlamydiia; Parachlamydiales; Parachlamydiaceae.
GCCCAAGUGGUGAAAUUGGUAGACACGCCAGAUUUAGGUUCUGGUGCCGCGAGGUGUGUAGGUUCGAGUCCUAUCUUGGGCA